Papaver somniferum (opium poppy) is the source of this 847-nucleotide long non-coding RNA. RefSeq lists it as uncharacterized. The record is from RefSeq and is a predicted model, not a curated record. The transcript has 2 exons. NCBI's taxonomy places the organism in Eukaryota, Viridiplantae, Streptophyta, Magnoliopsida, Ranunculales, Papaveraceae.
UGUUUUUGCCUUUUCUCUCUCUCUUCGCAACGACUCCGUCCGGAAAAGAAACUAGAUCCAGAAAAACUAAAUGAAAAUUGUGCAAAAUCGAACCUAAAAUUGAGUUUCUGAUUGUGCAAGAACAUGAACGAGAUCAAUUUAACAAAGAAAUCAAAAGAAAUAAAAUAAUCAAAACCUGAAAAAUUAGGGUUCACAAAUCGAUUUCUUAGCGAGUUUACUGUCUUGUUCAACAACAGAAGUUUGAAGAUUCAAAAUCAAAGGUAAACAACGAUAUGUGCGAGUAUAAAUUUAGUGCAUUUGUUUUAUUAAUAUUUCUUUUAUGAUUUGAUAAUGAUUUCAUCAGUUUGAGUCGGUAAAUAAGAAAGUUUGAUGUGAGGAGGUGGAGGUGGCGGUUGGAGAGAAGGAAAUGGUGGUGGUGAAAAUGAUGGAUAUGAUGGAAUUCACAAAUCCAAUAAGGUUUCCAAUCGUCGUUAAAUUGUUUUGGCAUGAGGUGAUGGUGAAUACCAAGGUGGGGGAGAUCAUGGCAGUGGACGUGGGCGGUGGAAGUGGCAUGGAUACAUGAUUGGAUUAGUGUACCCUAAUUCAAGGUACUUAAUUUCUCGUGAUGGUUGGGGUUUAAGCCCUCGUGGUGCAGGGUUCUUGUUUGGUGGAAACAUGGCUAAAUCAUGCAAACAAUUUGGAUUACAUUUUGAUGUGCUCAUCAGUUAGUGAUGGAAGGAUAUAAAUGGAUGUUUAACAACCAGAAAUAUAGUUCGCUCCAAAUUAUUGUUCUAGGUUUGUAAUUUUUUUUGUUUUGUCCAUCUAUUCCAUGUUAUUGGAAGAAAUACAUUUAUAUGGCUGCACUUAA